CGGAGGUGCAGGGGGUUGGCUCUGGGCAAACAAAAGGCACCGCGAUCUACCUUUCUUGGAUGCCCUGCGCCGGAUCUUCAUCUUGGGGAAGGAAGGCCAGGAGUAGUUGAAAGAUAUGGAAAUGAAGAAGGAAGAAAGCCCAGACGAGAAGAGUGCUGCCUGCAAAUCAAGGAAAGCUCCCUAAGGCAGGCGCACGUUUCUCGCUGAGAGCUAGGAAAUUGUUUCUUAGGAAAGCUGUGCAGAGCUGCGUGGUGAAGGCUGAAGUUUCUAUGUGGAUAGUCUGCAGCCAGCCUACUCCAGGAUCCAUAUCUCCCGAGAAGCUGGUCAUCCACACCAUCCUUGGGAAGGCACAGCGAGAUGUGUGACCCAUAAGAUCAAGCUGAGUAGCCAUGGUCUACAGAGGAGUCUCUUUAAAGCACUCCUUGAAGAAGGAGGAAUGCCAAGAAAUCCCACACUUUGCUGUGUUUGUGAAGUCUAGGGAUGCUCAGAAAAACUCAAGGAAACAGCACGAGGAGCCAUUUAACCUGCAGGCUUGGACCAUGACAGUGUGUGUCUUCAUUAGCAUUCAUCUCUUUACUUCCACUAUUUCUCCAACUGUUGGCAGAGAGCUGUGCUGUGGAAGAAAUAGCUUCACACAGGCUGCUCUGUGGCAGCUAAUCCUCUGUGAUUAGGGAGGAGUGAGUGAGGGGCAAAGGCAGAGAUAGAAUCUACUGGAGUGUGAAUCCAAGUCAAAAUCAGAAUUAUGUAAACUGCUCCUGUGGUUUCAUACGGUUUUCUAUAGAACUGGAAAACUAGGACAAAAUACAACUAGAAUAUAGCUGCGAGGAUUGAACCUAAAGGAAAAAUGAGUAACUUUCUAUUUUGUAGCCUUUUUGUUUGAAGAAUAAAUUACAUAUUUUUCUUAAACAGAUGGGCACAAUUGUAAGAAUAAAUUACUCUCAGCUUUUAA
Molecule: long non-coding RNA, 949 nt
Organism: Meriones unguiculatus (Mongolian gerbil)
Lineage: Eukaryota; Metazoa; Chordata; Mammalia; Rodentia; Muridae
Exons: 3
Source: RefSeq, a predicted model, not a curated record